This 1433-nucleotide ribosomal RNA is filed under the name uncultured bacterium. RNAcentral describes it as "bacterial SSU rRNA". It matches the Rfam family "Bacterial small subunit ribosomal RNA". The record is from RNAcentral.
UGAUCAUGGCUCAGAACGUACGCUGGCGGCACGCCUAACACAUGCAAGUCGAACGAAGUAGCAAUACUUAGUGGCAGACGGGUGAGUAACAUGUAGGUAUCUGCCCUUUGGCCUGGAAUAACACGAGGAAACUUGUGCUAAUACCGGAUAAGUCUUUACGGAGAAAGCUUUAUGCACCAUUGGAUGAGCCUGCACUUGAUUAGUUUGUUGGUGGGGUAAUGGCCUACCAAGACUGUGAUCAAUAGCUGAUUUGAGAGGAUGAUCAGCCACAUUGGGACUGAGACACGGCCCAAACUCCUACGGGAGGCAGCAGUGGGGAAUCUUGCACAAUGGAGGAAACUCUGAUGCAGCGAUGCCGCGUGAGUGAAGAAGGCCCUUGGGUUGUAAAGCUCUUUCGUCGGGGAAGAAAAUGACUGUACCCGAAUAAGAAGGUCCGGCUAACUUCGUGCCAGCAGCCGCGGUAAUACGAAGGGACCUAGCGUAGUUCGGAAUUACUGGGCUUAAAGAGUUCGUAGGUGGUUGAAAAAGUUAGUGGUGAAAUCCCAGAGCUUAACUCUGGAACUGCCAUUAAAACUUUUCAGCUAGAGUAUGAUAGAGGAAAGCAGAAUUUCUAGUGUAGAGGUGAAAUUCGUAGAUAUUAGAAAGAAUACCAAUUGCGAAGGCAGCUUUCUGGAUCAUUACUGACACUGAGGAACGAAAGCAUGGGUAGCGAAGAGGAUUAGAUACCCUCGUAGUCCAUGCCGUAAACGAUGUGUGUUAGACGUUGGAAAUUUAUUUUCAGUGUCGCAGGGAAACCGAUAAACACACCGCCUGGGGAGUACGACCGCAAGGUUAAAACUCAAAUGAAUUGACGGGGACCCGCACAAGUAGUGGAGCAUGUGGUUUAAUUCGAAGAUACGCGCAGAACCUUACCAACACUUGACAUGUUCGUCGCGACUCUAAGAGAUUAGAGUUUUCGGUUCGGCCGGACGAAACACAGGUGCUGCAUGGCUGUCGUCAGCUCGUGUCGUGAGAUGUUGGGUUAAGUCCCGCAACGAGCGCAACCCUCACUUUUAGUUGCCAUCAUUAAGUUGGGCACUCUGAAAGAACUGCCAGUGAUAAGCUGGAGGAAGGUGGGGAUGACGUCAAGUCCUCAUGGCCCUUACGUGUUGGGCUACACACGUGCUACAAUGGUAUCUACAACAGGAAGCAAGACUGCGAAGUUAAGCAAAUCCCUAAAAGAUACCUCAGUUCGGAUUGCACUCUGCAACUCGAGUGCAUGAAGCUGGAAUUACUAGUAAUCGUGGAUCAGCGUGCCACGGUGAAUGCGUUCCCGGGUCUUGUACACACCGCCCGUCACACCAUGGGAGUUGGUUCUACCUUAAGGCAAGGUUUCAAACCCUUGACCACGGUAUAGUCAGCGACUGGGGUGAAGUCAUAACAAGGUAGCCGUA